AAAAAAAAACUUUUUUGCUGCUGUGAUUGGAAUUUACCUGUGUGUUCCCACCAUCAGUCAUAUGUAUGUGACAUUUUGUGAGCAAUGGAAAGGAGUUUGGGCAACACACUUUCUUGCAUGAUAUCUUUGUUGGCUUUCAGAGAGUUAAUGAAGGGCACCUCUAGGAAAUGGCAGCUAUCUUGGCUAUAUCCCUGUUGAGAGGACUUUUCUUCCUGGCUACUUUUCAGUUUGUUACCACAAUUAGAUUUGCAUUACUAUCUACUUUCUUUCUCUUGACAAUCUCUUAGGUAUAUGAUAAUGGAACGUUCUUGUUCAAAUUUUGGAUGCAAAAUAUCUUUGCCUUUUUUGUGUUAUUGACAGCACAAACCUAGGGGAUGUUAUUGGGCUGUUACACAAAUACAGUUCAAGUUGACUAUUGCAGGCCACACUGCAGUACAAUAGAAUACAAUAAAACAAUCAAUCAUAUGUAGACCAUAAACUCUGCGGUCUCCGUAGCCCCUCAGUCUGCCUCAGCAGUGCUAAAGACUCACUAGGACAUCAUGAAAGGUUAUCGAAGGCAGCACUGCCACUGGAAAGCACUUUUUUCUGCAGGCUGCUGAGGACUAACGGUCACAGAUGAAUUCAUCAGGGGCAUUUCCACAUGGCAUCCACAGCCAUCAGAAAGGCAGCAGCAGGGAACAGCUGAGGAGCUUAUUUCAGAUUCUUUCACAGUUAUGAUGGUCCGUGGUCUUAUGUGCUGUGGAAAUAGAAACAGUGAUUUAAAUCUUGGUAAAAUCUUAAAGAAAAACAAGCAGACAUUUUCAAUUUCUAUCUGAGCUGUUGGCUUGCUGCUGACCACUGCUUACAGAUAUUACAGCAGAACUGCUGUGGUUUUGCUGCGCACUUGGUGACAGUGGCCGGAGCGCUCAGGUGCUCACUGCCAAAGUAGAGCACAUGCAGCUGAUUCCUCAGCCUCAUCUUUCCCAUGGUCUGCGAUCAAUCCAUAACCCUAGCUGCUGUCAAAAUUGUCAUUCCCCACCAGAUGCCCUAAGUUCCUACUGCUCCCCGCUGGUACUGCUGCCCCUGUUGUCUCUCCGUCCAAAGAGUUUCAGAACAAGAGACAAGCUUUUAUGGAGCCUGGCAAAGCUUCAGAAGGGAAAAGGAAAAAUCGAUACUGCUUCAAAGCCAAGUAUUUGCUUCAGUGAAUAUGACAUUUGCCCUUUCUUCACUAGGGGGAAAAACAACAAGGACACUUAGGCCGGCAAUGGAAAUAGAAUGAACAACAGAGAGACCUUCCAGAUUUGACAUGUAAAGGGAAAUAACUUUGUAGUUAUUGUCCCUGUUUGGUGACAUCAAAAACAGGUGUAGAGUGUAAGGCGGUGCAGGCUGAGAAUGAAGUGGAAAGUAACACAAAGUCAAAGAGAAGAGUUGAAGGAAUUUGGAACAAGUGAUAAUGGACUUGGCUGAAAAGAUGGAGAAUGAAAGACACUGCGCAAAGGUGAAGUCCAUUGUUGUACAAUCAAAUUAACUAUUAAAUGUCAGCUGCAAAGGUGCGCCAUAAUAUUAAAAGGACCUUCCAGUAAGUUUUACACCAUUUUGACAGCUUUACAGCUACUGAAAAUGUCCAUAGAACCUCACAGUUUGCUAAUGAAAGGCCUCUCCGUAAGGAUGAAGCAGUUCAGAAACUUUGAAAGAGAAGCUGGGAAUACCAAUUAAAGAAAUGCAAAAUCAAAACAAGCUUGAAAAACACUCAUAUUUUUGGAGGAUUAAAAAAGAAUUAAACUACAUAUAAGCCUUAGAAGCCUGCUCUAAUUCUUUUUGACAUCCAGGUUUUCAUUAAUUUAAUUCUACAGCUGGUUAUAACUCCCUGAUUCCAUUCUAUUUUGACUAUGCCAAUCCUAAGCUAGUUUUCCAAGUUGUGUUUUUAGAUGUUUCUAAUUUGUGUCAUUCACUAUAUGGAAUUUUAUGGACCUGUUUGCUACUGAAAUAAGAUUCGUCAUUUAAAUGUUGUGUCAUUGCUCAAAAAUAUUUUUUUCCUUAUGUGAAGCUGUGCCUUCAGCUGCUACCAGCAGGGUUAAUUUGCAGCACCUAAAAUCCCUGCUGAGUGGGUCAGCUGCUGCUGUUGCAGUCAGGAAACGGAGCAGGCAUCAUCCUUGGUGAAUCAAAUAGCAUGACUUCUGAGGAGCAUAGGUGUAGUGCAGCAGGACAGUCAUGUACUCAUACUCUGACCCCUGUACUGCUGCUGGGUGAGAGUUCUGCAGCUACAGAAUCAAUAAAAAUGUAUUGAUUUCUCUGUACUGUCA
Molecule: long non-coding RNA, 2282 nt
Filed under: Phasianus colchicus (ring-necked pheasant)
Lineage: Eukaryota; Metazoa; Chordata; Aves; Galliformes; Phasianidae
Description: lncRNA (ENSPCLG00000021988.1)
Source: RNAcentral